GGUUAAGUUAGAAAGGGCGCACGGUGGAUGCCUUGGCACUAGGAGCCGAAGAAGGACGGGACUAACACCGAUAUGCUUUGGGGAGCUGUACGUAAGCGUUGAUCCAGAGAUUUCCGAAUGGGGGAACCCACUAUCUUUAGUCGGAUAGUAUCCUUACGUGAAUACAUAGCGUGAGGAAGGCAGACCCAGGGAACUGAAACAUCUAAGUACCUGGAGGAAGAGAAAGAAAAAUCGAUUUCCUGAGUAGCGGCGAGCGAAACGGAAAGAGCCCAAACCAAGAAGCUUGCUUCUUGGGGUUGUAGGACACUCUAUACGGAGUUACAAAAGAAAGUUAUAAAUGAAGCGGUCUGGAAAGGCCCGCCAAAGACGGUAACAGCCCGGUAGUUGAAAUGGCUUUCCCUCCAGAGUGGAUCCUGAGUACGGCGGAACACGUGAAAUUCCGUCGGAAUCCGGGAGGACCAUCUCCCAAGGCUAAAUACUCCCUAGUGACCGAUAGUGAACCAGUACCGUGAGGGAAAGGUGAAAAGCACCCCGGAAGGGGAGUGAAACAGUUCCUGAAACCGUGUGCCUACAAGUAGUUAGAGCCCGUUAAUGGGUGAUAGCGUGCCUUUUGUAGAAUGAACCGGCGAGUUACGAUUUGUUGCAAGGUUAAGCGGAAAAAGCGGAGCCGUAGCGAAAGCGAGUCUGAAUAGGGCGCAUAAGUAACAGGUCGUAGACCCGAAACCAGGUGAUCUACCCAUGUCCAGGAUGAAGGUAAGGUAAUACUUACUGGAGGUCCGAACCCACGCACGUUGAAAAGUGCGGGGAUGAGGUGUGGGUAGCGGAGAAAUUCCAAUCGAACUUGGAGAUAGCUGGUUCUCUCCGAAAUAGCUUUAGGGCUAGCCUCGAGGUAAAGAGUCAUGGAGGUAGAGCACUGUUUGGACUAGGGGCCCUUCUCGGGUUACCGAAUUCAGAUAAACUCCGAAUGCCAUGUACUUAUACUCGGGAGUCAGACUGCGAGUGAUAAGAUCCGUAGUCGAAAGGGAAACAGCCCAGACCACCAGUUAAGGUCCCCAAAUAUAUGUUAAGUGGAAAAGGAUGUGGGGUUGCUUAGACAACCAGGAUGUUGGCUUAGAAGCAGCCACCAUUGAAAGAGUGCGUAAUAGCUCACUGGUCGAGUGACCCCGCGCCGAAAAUGUACCGGGGCUAAACAUAUUACCGAAACUGUGGAUGAACCUCUUUAGAGGUUCGUGGUAGGAGAGCGU
Molecule: ribosomal RNA, 1244 nt
Filed under: Listeria monocytogenes
Lineage: Bacteria; Bacillati; Bacillota; Bacilli; Caryophanales; Listeriaceae
Description: partial 23S ribosomal RNA
Rfam family: Bacterial large subunit ribosomal RNA
Source: RNAcentral